GGAAGGGUGGCUGAGUGGUCGAAAGCGGCACACUGCUAACGUGUUGUCCGGUACUCCCGGACCGCGGGUUCGAAUCCCGCCCCUUCCG
Molecule: transfer RNA, 88 nt
Filed under: Candidatus Magasanikiibacteriota bacterium
Lineage: Bacteria; Candidatus Magasanikiibacteriota
Description: Candidatus Magasanikbacteria bacterium tRNA-Ser
Rfam family: tRNA
About the family: Transfer RNA (tRNA) molecules are approximately 80 nucleotides in length. Their secondary structure includes four short double-helical elements and three loops (D, anti-codon, and T loops).
Source: RNAcentral